This 402-nucleotide ribosomal RNA is filed under the name uncultured Sphingobium sp. RNAcentral describes it as "bacterial SSU rRNA". It matches the Rfam family "Bacterial small subunit ribosomal RNA", at positions 355 to 774 of the family's 1533-position model. Lineage: Bacteria; Pseudomonadati; Pseudomonadota; Alphaproteobacteria; Sphingomonadales; Sphingobiaceae. The record is from RNAcentral.
UAGGGAAUAUUGGACAAUGGGCGAAAGCCUGAUCCAGCAAUGCCGCGUGAGCGAUGAAGGCCUUAGGGUUGUAAAGCUCUUUUACCCGGGAUGAUAAUGACAGUACCGGGAGAAUAAGCCCCGGCUAACUCCGUGCCAGCAGCCGCGGUAAUACGGAGGGGGCUAGCGUUGUUCGGAAUUACUGGGCGUAAAGCGCACGUAGGCGGCCAUUUAAGUCAGAGGUGAAAGCCUGGAGCUCAACUCCAGAACUGCCUUUGAGACUGGAUGGCUAGAAUCUUGGAGAGGCGAGUGGAAUUCCGAGUGUAGAGGUGAAAUUCGUAGAUAUUCGGAAGAACACCAGUGGCGAAGGCGGCUCGCUGGACAAGUAUUGACGCUGAGGUGCGAAAGCGUGGGGAGCAAACA